RNAcentral lists this ribosomal RNA (715 nucleotides) under Cyanobacteria bacterium UBA11162. RNAcentral's name for it is "bacterial LSU rRNA". It matches the Rfam family "Bacterial large subunit ribosomal RNA", at positions 1 to 732 of the family's 2925-position model. Lineage: Bacteria; Bacillati; Cyanobacteriota. The record is from RNAcentral.
GUGGUCAAGCGAAAAAGAGCUAACGGUGGAUACCUAGGCACACAGAGGCGAAGAAGGACGUGGCGACCGACGAAACGCUUCGGGGAGCUGGAAGCAAGCAAUGAGCCGAAGAUGUCCGAAUGGGGAAACCCCAAAGUACUCCUGAGUGAACUCAUAGCUCAGAGAGAGCCAACCCAGCGAACUGAAACAUCUUAGUAGCUGGAGGAAAAGAAAUCAAACCGAGAUUCCCCUAGUAGCGGCGAGCGAAGCGGGAAAAGCCUAAACCAACUCGAAAUUCGGGUUGGGGUAGUGGGACAGCAACAGGGAAUCAAAGAAACUAAACGAAGCCCUUGAAUGGGGCACCAAAGAAGGUGAAAGUCCUGUAGUUGAAAGUGGACUGAUACUAGCUGAAUCCCGAGUAGCAUGGGGCACGUGAAAUCCCGUGUGAAUCAGCGAGGACCACCUCGUAAGGCUAAAUACUCCUGUGUGACCGAUAGCGAAACAGUACCGCGAGGGAAAGGUGAAAAGAACCCCGGGAGGGGAGUGAAACAGAACCUGAAACCGUUAGCUUACAAGCAAUGGGAGGACGAUUAAACGUCUGACCGUGUGCCUGUUGAAGAAUGAGCCGGCGAGUUACAAGCGGUGGCAGGUUAAGGCCCAAUGGCUGAAGCCAAAGCGAAAGCGAGUCCGAACAGGGCAGUAGUCACCGAUUGUAGACCCGAACCCGGGUGAUCUA